RNAcentral lists this ribosomal RNA (212 nucleotides) under uncultured bacterium. Its description in RNAcentral is "partial 16S ribosomal RNA". It matches the Rfam family "Bacterial small subunit ribosomal RNA", at positions 1290 to 1500 of the family's 1533-position model. The record is from RNAcentral.
AGUUCGGAUUGUGGUCUGCAACCCGACUACAUGAAGCUGGAAUCGCUAGUAAUCGCGGAUCAGAAUGCCGCGGUGAAUACGUUCCCGGGUCUUGUACACACCGCCCGUCACACCAUGGGAGUCGGAAAUGCCCGAAGCCGGUGACCUAACCUUUCAGGAAGGAGCUGUCGAAGGCAGGUCUGAUAACUGGGGUGAAGUCGUAACAAGGUAGC